UUUAACGGCCGCGGUAUUUUGACCGUGCGAAGGUAGCGCAAUCACUUGUCUUUUAAAUGAAGACCUGUAUGAAUGGCACGACGAGGGCUUAACUGUCUCCUUUUUCCAGUCAAUGAAAUUGAUCUUCCCGUGCAGAAGCGGGAAUAAUAUCAUAAGACGAGAAGACCCUGUGGAGCUUUAGACACUAAAUCAGCCCUUGUCCAAGAAUCCCAAUUAAAGGAAUGAACACUAGAGUGAGACCUGAUCUAAUGUCUUCGGUUGGGGCGACCUUGGGGAAAGAAAAAUCCCCCAUGCGGAACGGAAAUACCAUAUUUCUAAAACUGAGAGAGACCACUCAAAGUAUCAAAAAUUUUGACCAACUAUAUGAUCCGGCUUAACGCCGAUCAACGGACCAAGUUACCCCAGGGAUAACAGCGCAAUCCUCUUUUAGAGCCCAUAUCGACAAGAGGGUUUACGACCUCGAUGUUGGAUCACGACAUCCUAA
This 484-nucleotide ribosomal RNA is filed under the name Amphiprion mccullochi (whitesnout anemonefish). Its description in RNAcentral is "partial 16S ribosomal RNA". It matches the Rfam family "Bacterial large subunit ribosomal RNA", at positions 1923 to 2550 of the family's 2925-position model. Lineage: Eukaryota; Metazoa; Chordata; Actinopteri; Pomacentridae. The record is from RNAcentral.